RNAcentral lists this long non-coding RNA (353 nucleotides) under Mytilus galloprovincialis (Mediterranean mussel). Lineage: Eukaryota; Metazoa; Mollusca; Bivalvia; Mytilida; Mytilidae. The record is from RNAcentral.
GUUGGUUUAUUAUUGCUAUAGUCAUAAUGUUAGUUACUAUGUGAAUGUAUAUUAUCUAUGUGAAAUCAGGUAGCGAUAGUUACCAGUUACCGUAUUUGGUUGUGUAUAACCCGCGGUCGGGGCGACCUCUUUUUGUAAGGAGGGGGUAAUGUGACGUUUUUGACAGAUAACAGUGCCUAAAUUUUUAUUGAUAUUGUCUACAUAGUUUUGGCUAUAGUUCUUCCAACCCUACUUUGUAUUAUUUUAUUAAAGCAGUAAAUGUGUGUAUUUUAUUUCAUUAUUACCUAUAUCAUUGUUUAAUCGUUUUAAUAUUGUAUGUUCCAGAAUGAUAGAAAACGUGUGUUUUCUUACCG